UACGGAAGGCAGCAGUGGGGAAUAUUGCACAAUGGGCGAAAGCCUGAUGCAGCUAUGCCGCGUGUAUGAAGAAGGCCUUAGGGUUGUAAAGUACUUUCAUCGGGGAGGAAAAAACAAAACUAAUAAUUUUAUUUCUUGACGUUACCCGAAAAAGAAGCACCGGCUAACUCCGUGCCAGCAGCCGCGGUAAUACGGAGGGUGCUAGCGUUAAUCGGAAUUACUGGGCGUAAAGGGCACGCAGGCGGUUAAUUAAGUUGGAUGUGAAAUCCCCGGGCUUAACCUGGGAAUGGCAUUCAAGACUGGUUAGCUAGAGUCUUGUAGAGGGGGUAGAAUUCCAUGUGUAGCGGUGAAAUGCGUAGAGAUGUGGAGGAAUACCGGUGGCGAAGGCGGCCCCUGGACAAAGACUGACGCUCAUGUGCGAAAGCGUGGGGAGCAAACAGGGAUUAGAUACCCGU
Molecule: ribosomal RNA, 455 nt
Filed under: uncultured bacterium
Lineage: Bacteria
Description: bacterial SSU rRNA
Rfam family: Bacterial small subunit ribosomal RNA
Source: RNAcentral